UACGUAGGGCGCAAGCGUUAUCCGGAAUUAUUGGGCGUAAAGAGCUCGUAGGCGGUUUGUCGCGUCUGCCGUGAAAGUCCGGGGCUCAACUCCGGAUCUGCGGUGGGUACGGGCAGACUAGAGUGAUGUAGGGGAGACUGGAAUUCCUGGUGUAGCGGUGAAAUGCGCAGAUAUCAGGAAGAACACCCGUGGCUAAGGCGGCUCUCUAGUACGGUACUGACGCUGAGACGCGAAAGCGUGGGAGCGAACAGG
This 252-nucleotide ribosomal RNA is filed under the name uncultured bacterium. Its description in RNAcentral is "partial 16S ribosomal RNA". It matches the Rfam family "Bacterial small subunit ribosomal RNA", at positions 524 to 776 of the family's 1533-position model. The record is from RNAcentral.